ACGCACGCUGGCGGCAUGCCUCACCCCUGCCAGUCGAACGAGACCUUCGGGUCUAGUGGCGCACGGGUGCGUAACGCGUGGGAACCUGCCCUUAGGUUCGGAAUAACUCCCCGAAAGGGGUGCUAAUACCGGAUAAUGUCUUCGGACCAAAGAUUUAUCGCCUUUGGAUGGGCCCGCGUUGGAUUAGCUAGUUGGUAGGGUAAAAGCCUACCAAGGCGACGAUCCAUAGCUGGUCUGAGAGGAUGAUCAGCCACACUGGGACUGAGACACGGCCCAGACUCCUACGGGAGGCAGCAGUGGGGAAUAUUGGACAAUGGGCGAAAGCCUGAUCCAGCAAUGCCGCGUGAGUGAGGAAGGCCUUAGGGUUGUAAAGCUCUUUUACCCGGGAUGAUAAUGACAGUACCGGGAGAAUAAGCUCCGGCUAACUCCGUG
Molecule: ribosomal RNA, 432 nt
Filed under: uncultured bacterium
Lineage: Bacteria
Description: partial 16S ribosomal RNA
Rfam family: Bacterial small subunit ribosomal RNA
Source: RNAcentral